This is a long non-coding RNA of Arachis ipaensis, 790 nucleotides long. RefSeq lists it as uncharacterized. Lineage: Eukaryota; Viridiplantae; Streptophyta; Magnoliopsida; Fabales; Fabaceae. The record is from RefSeq and is a predicted model, not a curated record.
AAAAUUAACAUAUACGGUUUACCGGUUAUAUUAAAUACAAAAAUAUUAUGUGAAUUGAUAUGAAUCCAAUUAUAUCAAAUAGUAGUUCUGACCCAUCAACAGAAGUAGAAGUAAUUGGACUGAAUGAUCAAACACUAUAACAGAAAAGACUAGAAUAAUGAAACAAGCAGCAUGGAUGAAAGACUAUAAAAUAAUUUAGUAGGAUGCAUUAUAGAAGAAUAAUUUUAUUAGCGACAAUAAAAUUAAUUAUAACAAUUUAGUGGAGGGUUGAUUUAAAAGAGAGGUUUACCAACUGAUACUUUUGUGGAGAGAUUGUCAGCAUGACUGAGGAAACUCGUCUAAAUCAGUUAGAGGAACUCACCCUCUCUAACAAGCAUGAGGUUGCAACAUUGAGUCGAGGACUUGAAAAGACUAAUGAACGAAUUGCGGAAAUUUAAUCGCAACUUACAACCAUGGAUUCCUUGCUAUGAUCCAUCGAGAAGCUUCUCUACGAUUAUUUGAAACUAAAAGCUAAGUCCGAUGAACCGCUGAACAACAAUGAUGGCACAAUGGAAAGAUUAGGCUCGGUUAGCUUGUAUGGGGAACCACAUUGGCCUCGCAAAUUGAAAGUGGUCGAUCUGCCAAUGUUUGACGGCGAAGGGGUCGAGGACUGGAUCUUUCGAGCAAGACAGUAUCUAGAAACCUUUGACAUUUUGGUGGAGCAAUGGAUUUGGGUUCUGUCUUUUCAUUUAAUCAAUGCGGCUUAUGCAUGGUUAAUAAACCCAUAUUUUAUGAUGUAUUUUGUGCCCAA